AUCCGCUUUGAGAUGGCCUCGCGUCCGAUUAGCUAGUUGGUGAGGUAACGGCCCACCAAGGCGACGAUCGGUAGCCGGACUGAGAGGUUGAACGGCCACAUUGGGACUGAGACACGGCCCAGACUCCUACGGGAGGCAGCAGUGGGGAAUAUUGCACAAUGGGGGAAACCCUGAUGCAGCGACGCCGCGUGGAGGAAGAAGGUCUUCGGAUUGUAAACUCCUGUUGUUGAGGAAGAUAAUGACGGUACUCAACAAGGAAGUGACGGCUAACUACGUGCCAGCAGCCGCGGUAAAACGUAGGUCACAAGCGUUGUCCGGAAUUACUGGGUGUAAAGGGAGCGCAGGCGGGAGAACAAGUUGGAAGUGAAAUCCAUGGGCUCAACCCAUGAACUGCUUUCAAAACUGUUUUUCUUGAGUAGUGCAGAGGUAGGCGGAAUUCCCGGUGUAGCGGUGGAAUGCGUAGAUAUCGGGAGGAACACCAGUGGCGAAGGCGGCCUACUGGGCACCAACUGACGCUGAGGCUCGAAAGUGUGGGUAGCAAACAGGAUUAGAUACCCUGGUAGUCCACACCGUAAACGAUGAUUACUAGGUGUUGGAGGAUUGACCCCUUCAGUGCCGCAGUUAACACAAUAAGUAAUCCACCUGGGGAGUACGACCGCAAGGUUGAAACUCAAAGGAAUUGACGGGGGCCCGCACAAGCAGUGGAGUAUGUGGUUUAAUUCGACGCAACGCGAAGAACCUUACCAAGUCUUGACAUCCCUUGACGA
This 767-nucleotide ribosomal RNA is filed under the name Faecalibacterium prausnitzii. Its description in RNAcentral is "bacterial SSU rRNA". It matches the Rfam family "Bacterial small subunit ribosomal RNA", at positions 213 to 997 of the family's 1533-position model. The record is from RNAcentral. Lineage: Bacteria; Bacillati; Bacillota; Clostridia; Eubacteriales; Oscillospiraceae.